GUUUUCAGCAUCCUUCGUUUCAAAAUUAUCAUUAAAACAAGUGACUACCCAUGUGCUCUAAGGGCCAAAGGCCUACUGCUAGGAAAAUAUUUCUAUGAAGUCAUCUUAGCUCGCUUAUGGAGUCAAUUAACUCCAAUUCACUGACCUACAGAAAUGCAGUUUUCAACUUUUUUAAAUGAACGACUGCUCUAAAUCCCCAGUAUGAUAGCAUGGUCAUUUAUGCAGUUCAUGUUACCGUUGGUUCUAUUAUUCGUGGAUCGAAAAUGGAGUUGGCUUGGGGCGCUAUUGAGAAUGGUUGUCCUCAUUGCUUCGCUUUCCUUUUUUAAAUUUUGAUUGGUUAAGCCGUAUAAUGAGUAUGCUUUGGAAUCAGAUGUUAUUGGGGAUAUUGUUUUGAGAGCCUUGCCACUGAAGAUCCUAGAAGGUCUGAUGGAGAGGGGAUACAUUAUGUCGAUGCCAAUGUUGAAUAUUGUUAUGUGAUCUAAACAAAAGUAGGGGCUCACCGCAUCUUGAUGGGUGCUGGGAUGGCUUGUUGUGACUCAACUGAUGAUGGAAGGAGAUUUUAUGUUGAACUAAAAACAAGUCGUGAGGUUGACAAAGUCUCAGCUUCUUUGCAUCUUACUUCCAUCCCAUUACUUCUGGUUUCUUGUUAUAGUCAUGAUAUAGGCUCUUAACAACAUGUCAUCUUCAAUGAUGCAUACAGCGACAACAACAAGCCUUAUCCCACUAGGUGGGGUCAGCUAUAUGGAUUAUAUGAUGCUAUUGUGCUAUCUUCAACGAUGCAUACUGAGGAAAAAAUGAGGGAAAAACUGCUCAAGUUUUGGAUUCAGUCAUGUUCGGAAGGAGUUCCAUAUAUUGUCAUAGGAUUUAGGGAGGAGUCUGCUUGGCGUUUGCAGACGAAGUUUUAUGCUGGCUUUAUGGAAUAGUCAAGGAGAGUGAGUAUUAUUGAACCAUUCAGUCUUUUUCAGCGAGCUGAUAAAAAAGGAACAUGAAGAAAUCUUGCAAAUUGAAACUUAAGUCCCAAAUCUAUUCGUUUGGUGUGUAUAAGUUAGUAAUUGACAAGCACAUGCCUAGUUUUCAGAUGAAGAUUGCAUAUUGCAGCUUGCUCAACCUUUCACCCGUUUGGAGCUUUUACAGGCCCAGUCUUGUCUAGAUGCAAUUACUAGUCAGUCAUCUUGAGCUGCUGUGAAGAAUUAGAGACCUUUACAGCUGUUUAUACAAUUCAAUCUGACAAGUAACAGGAAUCUUCCCCUUAGCUUGAAUCGGUUCAUGGUUGUUUUGAUACUUGAUGGAAAUCCUUGAACAGGAGUGAGCUGAUUUUGUUAAUGAAGAGGAAAUUACACUGGGUUAUAAUCUUAUACUACUUUUGGGUUGAAUGAUUUGUGAUGGAAAAUGUCUGUGAAUUACUAUUAACCAUUUUGAUUCAUAGUUGGGCGGCGGGCGCCCCUCUGGGAAAUUUCCUGAUGUGUCUGUAAUUCUUGUGACUUUUGGCCGACAGAAUAUAGACCUAAUGAUGAAAAUAUUAGGCAGAAUGCAAAGAAAUUGUGCUCCUGACAUUCAA
Molecule: long non-coding RNA, 1558 nt
Organism: Prosopis cineraria
Lineage: Eukaryota; Viridiplantae; Streptophyta; Magnoliopsida; Fabales; Fabaceae
Exons: 3
Source: RefSeq, a predicted model, not a curated record